AGGGUUUGAUUCUGGCUCAGGAUGAACGCUAGCUACAGGCUUAACACAUGCAAGUCGAGGGGCAGCGGGAUUGAAGCUUGCUUCAAUUGCCGGCGACCGGCGCACGGGUGAGUAACGCGUAUCCAACCUUCCGCUUACUCGGGGAUAGCCUUUCGAAAGAAAGAUUAAUACCCGAUGGUAUGAUGAGAUUGCAUGAUAGCAUCAUUAAAGAUUUAUUGGUAAGCGAUGGGGAUGCGUUCCAUUAGGUAGUAGGCGGGGUAACGGCCCACCUAGCCUACGAUGGAUAGGGGUUCUGAGAGGAAGGUCCCCCACAUUGGAACUGAGACACGGUCCAA
Molecule: ribosomal RNA, 335 nt
Filed under: uncultured bacterium
Lineage: Bacteria
Description: bacterial SSU rRNA
Rfam family: Bacterial small subunit ribosomal RNA
Source: RNAcentral